RNAcentral lists this ribosomal RNA (497 nucleotides) under uncultured bacterium. RNAcentral describes it as "partial 16S ribosomal RNA". It matches the Rfam family "Bacterial small subunit ribosomal RNA", at positions 28 to 507 of the family's 1533-position model. The record is from RNAcentral.
GAUGAACGCUGGCGGCGUGCCUAAUACAUGCAAGUCGAGCGAACAGAUGAGGAGCUUGCUCCUCUGACGUUAGCGGCGGACGGGUGAGUAACACGUGGAUAACCUACCUAUAAGACUGGGAUAACUUCGGGAAACCGGAGCUAAUACCGGAUAAUAUAUUGAACCGCAUGGUUCAAUAGUGAAAGACGGUUUUGCUGUCACUUAUAGAUGGAUCCGCGCCGCAUUAGCUAGUUGGUAAGGUAACGGCUUACCACGGCAACGAUGCGUAGCCGACCUGAGAGGGUGAUCGGCCACACUGGAACUGAGACACGGUCCAGACUCCUACGGUAGGCAGCAGUAGGGAAUCUUCCGCAAUGGGCGAAUGCCUGACGGAGCAACGCCGCGUGAGUGAUGAAGGUCUUCGGAUCGUAAAACUCUGUUAGUAGGGAAGAACAAAUGUGUAAGUAACUAUGCACGUCUUGACGGUACCUAAUCAGAAAGCCACGGCUAACUACGUG